RNAcentral lists this transfer RNA (68 nucleotides) under Kusala populi. RNAcentral describes it as "tRNA-Met". It matches the Rfam family "tRNA". From Rfam's summary of the family: Transfer RNA (tRNA) molecules are approximately 80 nucleotides in length. Their secondary structure includes four short double-helical elements and three loops (D, anti-codon, and T loops). Further hydrogen bonds mediate the characteristic L-shaped molecular structure. tRNAs have two regions of fundamental functional importance: the anti-codon, which is responsible for specific mRNA codon recognition, and the 3' end, to which the tRNAs corresponding amino acid is attached (by aminoacyl-tRNA synthetases). tRNAs cope with the degeneracy of the genetic code in two manners: having more than one tRNA (with a specific anti-codon) for a particular amino acid; and 'wobble' base-pairing, i.e. permitting non-standard base-pairing at the 3rd anti-codon position. The record is from RNAcentral. Lineage: Eukaryota; Metazoa; Arthropoda; Insecta; Hemiptera; Cicadellidae.
AAAGAAGUAAGCUAAUAAAGCUCUUAGGUUCAUACCCUAAUUAUGAAAGUUCAAUCUUUCCUUCUUUA